UACGUAGGGUGCAAGCGUUAAUCGGAAUUACUGGGCGUAAAGCGUGCGCAGGCGGUGAUGUAAGUCAGAUGUGAAAUCCCCGGGCUCAACCUGGGAACUGCAUUUGUGACUGCAUCGCUGGAGUGCGGCAGAGGGGGAUGGAAUUCCGCGUGUAGCAGUGAAAUGCGUAGAUAUGCGGAGGAACACCGAUGGCGAAGGCAAUCCCCUGGGCCUGCACUGACGCUCAUGCACGAAAGCGUGGGGAGCAAACAUG
RNAcentral lists this ribosomal RNA (253 nucleotides) under uncultured bacterium. RNAcentral describes it as "partial 16S ribosomal RNA". It matches the Rfam family "Bacterial small subunit ribosomal RNA", at positions 524 to 776 of the family's 1533-position model. The record is from RNAcentral.